This 396-nucleotide ribosomal RNA is filed under the name uncultured bacterium. RNAcentral's name for it is "partial 16S ribosomal RNA". It matches the Rfam family "Bacterial small subunit ribosomal RNA", at positions 523 to 917 of the family's 1533-position model. The record is from RNAcentral.
AUACGUAGGGGGCGAGCGUUGUCCGGAAUGAUUGGGCGUAAAGGGCGCGUAGGCGGCCCGGUAAGUCUGGAGUGAAAGUCCUGUUUUUAAGAUGGGAAUUGCUUUGGAUACUGUCGGGCUUGAGUGCAGGAGAGGUAAGUGGAAUUCCCAGUGUAGCGGUGAAAUGCGUAGAGAUUGGGAGGAACACCAGUGGCGAAGGCGACUUACUGGACUGUAACUGACGCUGAGGCGCGAAAGGGUGGGGAGCAAACAGGAUUAGAUACCCUGGUAGUCCACACUGUAAACGAUGAAUGCUAGGUGUAGGGGGUAUCGACCCCUUCUGUGCCGAAGUCAACACAAUAAGCAUUCCGCCUGGGGAGUACGGCCGCAAGGUUGAAACUCAAAUGAAUUGACGGG